GAUGAACGCUGGCUACAGGCUUAACACAUGCAAGUCGAGGGACCGGCGCACGGGUGAGUAACGCGUAUCCAACCUGCCUCUGACUGGGGGAUAACCCGUCGAAAGUCGGACUAAUACCUCAUGGUCAGGGAUGGGGAUGCGUUUGAUUAGCUGUUUGGCGGGGUAACGGCCCACAAAGGCUACGAUCAGUAGGGGUUCUGAGAGGAAGGUACCUCACAUGGGAACUGAGACACGGUCCAAACUCCUACGGGAGGCAGCAGUGAGGAAUAUUGGUCAAUGGGCGGGAGCCUGAACCAGCCAAGUAGCGUGCAGGAAGACGGCCUAUGGGUUGUAAACUGCUUUUAUGCGGGGAUAGGUACCGCAUGAAUAAGGACCGGCUAAUUCCGUGCCAGCAGCCGCGGUAAUAC
Molecule: ribosomal RNA, 407 nt
Filed under: uncultured bacterium
Lineage: Bacteria
Description: partial 16S ribosomal RNA
Rfam family: Bacterial small subunit ribosomal RNA
Source: RNAcentral